GACGAACGCUGGCGGCGUGCUUAACACAUGCAAGUCGAACGAUGAAGCUGGAGCUUGCUCCGGUGGAUUAGUGGCGAACGGGUGAGUAACACGUGAGCAAUCUGCCCUUCACUCUGGGAUAACUGCGGGAAACUGUAGCUAAUACCGGAUACGAGACCUUGGGGCAUCCCAGGGUCUGGAAAGAAUUUCGGUGAAGGAUGAGCUCGCGGCCUAUCAGCUAGUUGGUGAGGUAAUGGCUCACCAAGGCGACGACGGGUAGCCGGCCUGAGAGGGUGACCGGCGACACUGGGACUGAGACACGGCCCAGACUCCUACGGGGGGCAGCAGUGGGGAAUAUUGCACAAUGGGCGAAAGCCUGAUGCAGCAACGCCGCGUGAGGGAUGAAGGCCUUCGGGUUGUAAACCUCUUUUAGUAGGGAAGAAGCGCAAGUGACGGUACCUACAGAAAAAGCACCGGCUAACUACGUGCCAGCCGCCGCAGUAA
Molecule: ribosomal RNA, 483 nt
Filed under: uncultured bacterium
Lineage: Bacteria
Description: partial 16S ribosomal RNA
Rfam family: Bacterial small subunit ribosomal RNA
Source: RNAcentral